GAUGAACGCUGGCGGCGUGCCUAAUACAUGCAAGUCGAACGCUGGAAAUCUAGCUUGCUAGAUUGAAGGAGUGGCGAACGGGUGAGUAAUACAUAAGCAACCUACCCACGAAGACUGGGAUAAUCUCUGGAAACGGGGACUAAUACCGGAUAGGUAAUCGGAAGGCAUCUUCUGAUUAUUAAAGGUUAAAAACACUGGUGGAUGGGCUUAUGGCGCAUUAGUUAGUUGGUGAGGUAACGGCCCACCAAGACGAUGAUGCGUAGCCGGCCUGAGAGGGUGAACGGCCACAUUGGGACUGAGACACGGCCCAGACUGCUACGGGAGGCAGCAGUAGGGAAUUUUCGGCAAUGGGGGAAACCCUGACCGAGCAACGCCGCGUGAGUGAUGACGGCCUUCGGGUUGUAAAGCUCUGUUGUAAGGGAAGAACGGUAGAUAGAGAAUAUCUAAAUGACGGUACCUUACCAGAAAGCCACGGCUAACUACGUG
This 486-nucleotide ribosomal RNA is filed under the name uncultured bacterium. RNAcentral's name for it is "partial 16S ribosomal RNA". It matches the Rfam family "Bacterial small subunit ribosomal RNA", at positions 28 to 507 of the family's 1533-position model. The record is from RNAcentral.